This 711-nucleotide long non-coding RNA is filed under the name Lytechinus variegatus (green sea urchin). RNAcentral describes it as "uncharacterized LOC121405988". The record is from RNAcentral. Lineage: Eukaryota; Metazoa; Echinodermata; Echinoidea; Temnopleuroida; Toxopneustidae.
UUUUUAUUUUCUUUUAUUAUUGAUCUCUGAAAUUUCAGUUGUUUCAAGAACUACCUGAAUCAGCUGUAACACAGACAGUGUUUAGCGUCUUGAGACCAAAUAAUGUUGAAGCUGACAGCGGGAACUAUUUCAGGUCUGCAAGCUGAUUCUUAGUGAUUCAUCAGGUAUGACGGUGCUUAUCAGAGGUUAAUACCGAAAGAAAGACUGAGAAAGGUUCCACUUAAAGCCAAACAUAGAGGAACCAUUUCUUUGGGUUGCUGUUCCCAAGGGCCAAUUACCUCAUGUUCAUCAAGAGGUCACUGCUACAUAUUAACGCUGGUAGACAAUACUGCUACAGUAGCAGAAAUAUUGUAGAGCAUCUACUCAAGGCAAGGAUUUCCUCAUAAAUGCUUGCUGAUAGAGGAACUCCAAUUACCUCAGAGGUAAUGAAGGAAGUUAGCCGACUUUUUUCAAUCCGUAUCAUCCACAGUGUUAGUCCAGGCCUGCCAGCCGCUGUGCAGCGCCAGAUCGACGAGGCUCCAUCCCUUUGAUUGUUGAACGCCAAACUGGGUAGCAGCAACUUCCAUCUUUUAAUGUCUUUUCAUCCAACACGGCUGGGGUUUAAACUUUCGACCCCCCCCCGGUUGUGAGACAGAUGCUCUACCAACUGACCCAACACACCGGUAGGGAAGGCGGGGUAAGUUGAGCCACCAUCCCCAGGCCAAUAAUGAA